RNAcentral lists this ribosomal RNA (925 nucleotides) under Hyalorhinocladiella ips. Its description in RNAcentral is "LSU rRNA". It matches the Rfam family "Eukaryotic large subunit ribosomal RNA", at positions 1 to 978 of the family's 3401-position model. The record is from RNAcentral. Lineage: Eukaryota; Fungi; Ascomycota; Sordariomycetes; Ophiostomatales; Ophiostomataceae.
ACCCGCUGAACUUAAGCUCUGAUCCGCUUUGAAAGAACCCCACAGGGAUUUGCCCCAGUAACGGCCAGUGAAGCGGCAACAGCUCAAAUUUGAAAUCUGGCCUUCGGGUCCGAGUUGUAAUUUGGAGAGGAUGCUUCUGGCGCGGCGCCGUCCGAGUUCCUUGGAACAGGACGCCAUAGAGGGUGAGAGCCCCGUACGGGCGGACGCCUAGCCUUUGUGAAGCUCCUUCGACGAGUCGAGUAGUUUGGGAAUGCUGCUCAAAAUGGGAGGUAAAUUUCUUCUAAAGCUAAAUACCGGCCAGAGACCGAUAGCGCACAAGUAGAGUGAUCGAAAGAUGAAAAGCACUUUGAAAAGAGGGUUAAAAAGUACGUGAAAUUGUUGAAAGGGAAGCGCCUGUGACCAGACUUGCUGCCCGCGGAUCAUCCGGCGUUCCUCGCCGGUGCACUCCGCGGGCGGCAGGCCAGCAUCGGUUUUCCUGGGGGGUCAAAGGUCGCGGGAACGUGGCUCCUUCGGGAGUGUUAUAGCCCGCGGCGUCAUGCCUCUGGGGGGACCCGAGGACCGCGCUUCGGCAAGGAUGCUGGCGUAAUGGUCACCGGCGACCCGUCUUGAAACACGGACCAAGGAGUCAAGCAUUGGGGCCNAGUGUCUGGGUGCCAAACCCGCACGCGAAAUGAAAGUAAACGCAGGUGAGAGCUUCGGCGCAUCACCGACCGAUCCUGAUGUCUUCGGAUGGAUUUGAGUAAGAGCCUUACCGCUUGGACCCGAAAGAUGGUGAACUAUGCCUGUAUAGGGUGAAGCCAGAGGAAANCUCUGGUGGAGGCUCGCAGCGGUUCUGACGUGCAAAUCGAUCGUCAAAUAUGGGCAUGGGGGCGAAAGACUAAUCGAACCAUCUAGUAGCUGGUUACCGCCGAAGUUUCCCUCAGGA